GAUGAACGCUGACAGAAUGCUUAACACAUGCAAGUCAACUUGAAUUUGGGUUUUUAACUUAGGUUUGGGUGGCGGACGGGUGAGUAACGCGUAAAGAACUUGCCUCACAGCUAGGGACAACAUCUGGAAACGAAUGCUAAUACCUAAUAUUAUGAUAAUAGGGCAUCCUAUAAUUAUGAAAGCUAUAAGCGCUGUGAGAGAGCUUUGCGUCCCAUUAGCUAGUUGGAGAGGUAACGGCUCACCAAGGCGAUGAUGGGUAGCCGGCCUGAGAGGGUGAUCGGCCACAAGGGGACUGAGACACGGCCCUUACUCCUACGGGAGGCAGCAGUGGGGAAUAUUGGACAAUGGACCAAGAGUCUGAUCCAGCAAUUCUGUGUGCACGAUGAAGUUUUUCGGAAUGUAAAGUGCUUUCAGUUGGGAAGAAAGAAAUGACGGUACCAACAGAAGAAGUGACGGCUAAAUACGUG
This 467-nucleotide ribosomal RNA is filed under the name uncultured bacterium. RNAcentral describes it as "partial 16S ribosomal RNA". It matches the Rfam family "Bacterial small subunit ribosomal RNA", at positions 28 to 507 of the family's 1533-position model. The record is from RNAcentral.